GAUGAACGCUGGCGGCGUGCCUAAUACAUGCAAGUCGAGCGAACAGAUAAGGAGCUUGCUCCUUUGACGUUAGCGGCGGACGGGUGAGUAACACGUGGGUAACCUACCUAUAAGACUGGGAUAACUUCGGGAAACCGGAGCUAAUACCGGAUAAUAUUUCGAACCGCAUGGUUCGAUAGUGAAAGAUGGUUUUGCUAUCACUUAUAGAUGGACCCGCGCCGUAUUAGCUAGUUGGUAAGGUACCGGCUUACCAAGGCGACGAUCCGUAGCCGACCUGAGAGGUGGACGGCCACCCCGGAAACGAGAACAGGUCCAGAAUCCUCAGGGGAGGAGGAGGAGGGAAACUUCCGCAAUUGGGGGAAAGCCGAAGGGGGCAAGCCCGGGGAGUGAUUAAGGUCUUCGGGUCGGAAAACCUCUUUAAUAGGGAAAAAAAAACGUGUAAGGAAAUUUGGACGGUUUGAAGGUAACUAAUCAGAAAGCCCCGGCUAACCACGUG
Molecule: ribosomal RNA, 496 nt
Filed under: uncultured bacterium
Lineage: Bacteria
Description: partial 16S ribosomal RNA
Rfam family: Bacterial small subunit ribosomal RNA
Source: RNAcentral